Molecule: transfer RNA, 65 nt
Filed under: Dipodomys ordii (Ord's kangaroo rat)
Lineage: Eukaryota; Metazoa; Chordata; Mammalia; Rodentia; Heteromyidae
Rfam family: tRNA
About the family: Transfer RNA (tRNA) molecules are approximately 80 nucleotides in length. Their secondary structure includes four short double-helical elements and three loops (D, anti-codon, and T loops).
Source: Rfam by way of RNAcentral
GGUGGCCCAGUGGUAGAGCGCUUGCCUUGCAUGCAUGAAGUCCUGGGUUCGAUCCCUCAGCACCA